Long non-coding RNA from Wasmannia auropunctata (little fire ant), 1303 nucleotides. RefSeq lists it as uncharacterized. NCBI's taxonomy places the organism in Eukaryota, Metazoa, Arthropoda, Insecta, Hymenoptera, Formicidae. The transcript is spliced from 2 exons. The record is from RefSeq and is a predicted model, not a curated record.
CUUAAUAUUUUUAAUGCAGAAUAAUUAGAAUAAUCAUAUUAUAUAAAAAAAAUUAUAUAAUUCCAUUUAAAAAAGUGGAGAUGAUCUUAAUCUGACCUUGCCAUUGCCUCCCAAAGUGAUUAUUUCAACAUAUUAGUCCCUUGAAAUUAAACAACUUUUGUUUGAAACAUUUUUUUCUCAAAUGUUUUCUUUUCAAGAUAUUCAAGUGUGUUAAUUUAAAUAAUUCAUCCUGUAUAUGAAAAAUAUACACAUCUAAGAAAAAUAUUUUGAUAUAUAAACUUCCUGUUACUACUGCCAAGAUUUCUUCUCAUGAUACUUCUAAGAUGGACUGAAAUUCUCUAAAAUCUCACUUAAAAUAUUCUUUUUUAGUAUCAGUAACGUUUUUUUAAUUCUUGACUUCCAGGACAAGUUGAUAAUGUUACUUCUCAUAUAUUGUUCAAAAAAUAGAGAUUGAUAUUAUGAUAUAGAAAUUUAUAUUUAUUUCUAAAUGAAAAUUGUAAUUUAUAUAUACAUACGCUAUAUAUACAUCUGCGUGAGUCUUAUGCAAGAAUGUGUGUAAAAAUUUAUACAUAAAAAAAUAUGUACAUUCCAGAAAGUUAAAAUACGUAUUACAUAUUUUUAAGACAUUUUUAUUUUUAUAGCAGUGCAUCAAAUUCUUCAUUACUAUUGUAAAACAUUUUACAUAUUAAUAAUUAGAAUAUAGUAAUAUAAAAUUAGAAGUAAUAUUAUAGUAUAUUAUAGUAAUAUAAAAAAACAUAUUUUCUCUUAUUUUGCAUAAUGGACAAUCUAUUUAUGUAAGCUUUUCGAUAUAAUCAGGAGAAGUAUAUAUCUUUGUUAUCCUAUUGUAAAAUUGCUUGCAUAAAAUUUUAUACUUGUUAAUGUUUGUUCCAGAUUUAUACUUUGUAUUCUCAAAAAUUAAUCUUUUUAUCUUUAUUGAUGAAAUGAAAAGUUAUUGGAGCUAAGAAAAACGAAAAAAUGAUUAGCGCAAUAUUGUGCAUGUUUAUUUGUAAUAUAUGGAAUAGAGUGUUUUCGAAUAUUACGAUCUUAAUGUAUAAGUAAUUUUGAGAUUUAUAAUGCAGCUACUAUAUAAAUGUACUUAACGACAUUUACGAAUUACGUUAAUGACUAUUAUUAUGAUUAAAUUUAGAGUUUAAAAGUAAUAGACGUGCAGUUGAUUUAUAACGUGAAAAUGCAAUAUAGAUAAAUAUUUUAUUACAUGCAAGAUGUACUUAAUGUUUAGUUAUACUUAAACAAAAUUCUGUUGUACAUGAGAUUAUUAUUUCGAUUAAAUUGUUAAGAGCAA